This 391-nucleotide unclassified non-coding RNA is filed under the name soil metagenome. RNAcentral describes it as "partial contains 5.8S ribosomal RNA, internal transcribed spacer 2, and large subunit ribosomal RNA". The stretch from base 1 to 122 matches the Rfam family "5.8S ribosomal RNA", at positions 35 to 154 of the family's 154-position model. The record is from RNAcentral.
GAUGAAGAACGUAGCGAAAUGCGAUACUUGGUGUGAAUUGCAGAAUCCCGUGAACCAUCGAGUCUUUGAACGCAAGUUGCGCCCGAAGCCAUUAGGCCGAGGGCACGCCUGCCUGGGCGGCACACGACGUUGCCCCCCCAUCUACUCCUUCGGGAUUGCGGGGGGCGGAUGAUGGCCUCUCGUGCGCCUCGUCGCGCGGUUGGCCUAAAUGCCAAGUCCUCGGCGACGCACGCCACGACAAUCGGUGGUUGCGAAACCUCGGUUGCCUGUCGUGUGCGGUCGUCGCGCAUCGAGGGCUCGAAAAAAUUGCCGGGCUUCGGCUCGACUUUCAACGCGACCCCAGGUCAGGCGGGGUUACCCGCUGAAUUUAAGCAUAUCAAUAAGCGGAGGA